This 564-nucleotide ribosomal RNA is filed under the name uncultured archaeon. RNAcentral describes it as "bacterial SSU rRNA". It matches the Rfam family "Archaeal small subunit ribosomal RNA", at positions 52 to 591 of the family's 1478-position model. The record is from RNAcentral.
UGCUUCCNCUAGCGGUCUCCNAGCUAUGAUGGAGACGCGUCCCACAGCUCAGUAACACGUGGCCAACCUGCCCUUAGGACAAGUAUAACCCCGGGAAACUGGGGAUAAUCCUUGAUAGGUGAGGAAUUCUGGAAUGAGUCUUUGCUUAAAGGACGUGCAGAUCACGCUUCUGUGCGUUGCCUAAGGAUGGGGCCGCGGCCGAUCAGGUUGUUGGUGAGGUAACGGCUCACCAAGCCUAUAACCGGUACGGGCCGUGAAAGCGGAAGCCCGGAGAUGGGCACUGAGACAAGGGCCCAGGCCCUACGGGGCGCAGCAGUCGCGAAAACUCCGCAAUACGCGAAAGCGUGACGGGGCUAUCCGAGUGCUAUUCGAUGAGAGUAGCUUUUCCUUAGUGUAAAGUGCUGGGGGAAUAAGGAGGGGGCAAGACUGGUGUCAGCCGCCGCGGUANUACCAGCUCUCCGAGUGAUAGGGACGUUUAUUGGGCCUAAAGCAUCCGUAGCUUGCUGAGUCUGUCCUCCGUUAAAUCCAACGAUUUAAUCGUUGGGCUGCGGGGAUACUGCUUAC